RNAcentral lists this ribosomal RNA (499 nucleotides) under uncultured bacterium. RNAcentral's name for it is "partial 16S ribosomal RNA". It matches the Rfam family "Bacterial small subunit ribosomal RNA", at positions 28 to 507 of the family's 1533-position model. The record is from RNAcentral.
GACGAACGCUGGCGGCGUGCCUAAUACAUGCAAGUCGAGCGGACUUUCAAGAAGCUUGCUUUUUGAAAGUUAGCGGCGGACGGGUGAGUAACACGUGGGCAACCUGCCUGCAAGACGGGGAUAACUCCGGGAAACCGGGGCUAAUACCGGAUAAUAUCUUCCUUCGCAUGAAGGAAGGUUGAAAGGCGGCGCAAGCUGCCGCUUGCAGAUGGGCCCGCGGCGCAUUAGCUAGUUGGUGAGGUAACGGCUCACCCAGGCGACGAUGCGUAGCCGACCUGAGAGGGUGAUCGGCCACACUGGGACUGAGACACGGCCCAGACUCCUACGGGAGGCAGCAGUAGGGAAUCUUCCGCAAUGGACGAAAGUCUGACGGGGCAACGCCGCGUGAGCGAAGAAGGUCUUCGGAUCGUAAAGCUCUGUUGUCAGGGAAGAACAAGUACCGUUCGAACAGGGCGGUACCUUGACGGUACCUGACCAGAAAGCCACGGCUAACUACGUG